Molecule: ribosomal RNA, 388 nt
Filed under: uncultured bacterium
Lineage: Bacteria
Description: bacterial SSU rRNA
Rfam family: Bacterial small subunit ribosomal RNA
Source: RNAcentral
ACUCCUACGGGAGGCAGCAGUGGGGAAUAUUGGACAAUGGGCGAAAGCCUGAUCCAGCCAUGCCGCGUGUGUGAAGAAGGUCUUCGGAUUGUAAAGCACUUUAAGUUGGGAGGAAGGGCAGUAAGUUAAUACCUUGCUGUUUUGACGUUACCAACAGAAUAAGCACCGGCUAACUUCGUGCCAGCAGCCGCGGUAAUACGAAGGGGUGCAAGCGUUAAUCGGAAUUACUGGGGCGUAAAGCGCGCGUAGGUGGUUCAGCAAGUUGGAUGUGAAAUCCCCGGGGCUCGAACCUGGGAACUGCAUCCAAAACUACUGAGCUAGAGUACGGUAGAGGGUGGUGGGAAUUUCCUGUGUAGCGGUGAAAUGCGUAGAUAUAGGAAGGAACACC